CAUUACUUUAAUGUUUCCAUCCAAAUAUCUCUUUAGUCAUAAUAAAGAAAUAUCUGUUUAUCUCUUCAUUCAUAAUGAAGAAACAUCCAAUGAUGGAUUAGAUUCAUAAUCCAAUACAUUUACGCUUCCAUUACGUUACUCUAAUUCUUCCUCGAUCUUUGAGGAAUUUAUCCUUUAGUAUUUCUUAAAUACUUAAGGACUCACUUGACAGUUGCCAUGGUUCUGAUCCUGGGCUUGCACUGAUAUCGUCUUGUACCGUUUUAGGUACAACUCAUAUCAAUGUUUUUCAUACAAUAUGAAAUACAUAAAUCACCUUUCUGCGUAUGCAUAAAGGAUUCUAUUUACGCAUUAUUUCUUUGGGAGUCAAAGAGUACGUUCUUUUUUUCUGAGAAGAGCAACUUCUUAGUCUCACUAGAGUUGUCCUUUUGAUUGAAGUUCAUCAUCAUAUGAGAAACUUCCUAUCAUCUUUUGUCUAUAUUUAGGGCUUGAUAUAAUCCAAUUAUCCUAAAAUCUAUCAAUAUAGAUUUCCAUCCCAUGUAUAUAGACUAUGUCUCCCAUAUACAUUCUAUCUUCAUAUAAUGUUUUACAGUCAUAACUUUAACGAAGAAGUAUUCUUUUCAUUUCCAAAAUUAAUAUAUCAUAUAUAUAUAUAUUCAAAUUUAGGAAUUUGAUUAACUCCCACUAAUCUUUUGUAAACCUAGUAAACAAAAGAUUCAUUCACAUCUUUAUGAGAAAUCAAACGAUUUGAUCUUUCUUUCAUAAGAUGCUUAUAGCUCCCACUAGCUUGCUAAGAUCCAUGAUGGAUGGAUCUCUACAACUUACAUGUCUUGUGAUUCAUAGUUUUAGACAUAUAUUAUCAAGACUAUCUUAAUAAUGGUUUCGGAAACCCAUAUUAUGUCCAAACAUUUAAUCACCAUUUAGUUGUAGCUAGCAAUCUUCGAAUUAAUUGAAACCAUGACUACGUUAAAGAUGGUUUCUUCCAAGUCAACCAAUCUCUUUAAUUAUAGUUACCUUAAGCUACCAAUUAACUAUGGGGGUUUCAUUAUUUCGCGUCAAAUGGUACUUUACCAUUUCCUUGAGUAUAUAUCGUAUAUACACUCAAUGUAGUCAUAAGGAUUUUCAUUCUUAUUUCUUUCGAAUUAAGAGGUGUAUCUCUAUGACAUAGUCAUAGAGUUCAAACCAUUCAACUGAGACGGUUUAUAAAUCCUUCUCGACUACCUUGGAGCUUGUGGUAUAGGAACUAGGUUGUUAUAUUUGUUGAUCACUAUCUUGUUUCUCAAAAAAUCAUUCUUUGAGUUCUAUCCCUCAUUCAUUUGCUCUAUCUUAGGCAAAUCCUAGUGUAGGAUUACAAUGAACUACCCAACAAAACAACAUUUGUUAGUUGGUUUAUAUAAGUGAUAUCCAAAGGUUAAUUUAAGGAUAUCCACAAGAUAAUUCUCAAACAAAUAUUGCUUAUUAGCACACAACCCCAAAUCAUAACAUGAUUAAGAUUUGUCUUUCUUUCCAACUACAUCUUAUGGAGUCAUGAAAAUUUUGGAAGAUCUUCUAAUUGACAAUCAUAUUGUCUUAGAAGCGUAUAUUCUAUAUAUGGGUAAUUGAUAACAUCCAACGAACUAAAUCUUAUUCAAGUUCAUUCUUCUCCUAAUGGAGAAAUCCAUUAUCUUUUGAUGCUUCUUUCCUUGAUAUUUUUCAAGGAAACUGUUCUAAAGUGUUAUCUUUCCUUGGAUCAAAUCUAAGGAGGCAAAUACUUUAGACGUUUUACUCAUCAACUUACAUUUCUUGAAUUCUUUGAAACCUUUUGCAAAGUAUUCGGACUUGUGUUUAUUCAAAAUA
RNAcentral lists this long non-coding RNA (1833 nucleotides) under Malus domestica (apple). Its description in RNAcentral is "long non-coding RNA (MDOM_LNC011241)". Lineage: Eukaryota; Viridiplantae; Streptophyta; Magnoliopsida; Rosales; Rosaceae. The record is from RNAcentral.